RNAcentral lists this ribosomal RNA (444 nucleotides) under uncultured bacterium. RNAcentral describes it as "partial 16S ribosomal RNA". It matches the Rfam family "Bacterial small subunit ribosomal RNA", at positions 331 to 792 of the family's 1533-position model. The record is from RNAcentral.
CCAGACUCCUACGGGAGGCAGCAGUGGGGGAUAUUGCACAAUGGGGGAAACCCUGAUGCAGCGACGCCGCGUGGGUGAAGAAGCGCCUCGGCGCGUAAAGCCCUGUCAGCAGGGAAGAAAAUGACGGUACCUGAAGAAGAAGCCCCGGCUAACUACGUGCCAGCAGCCGCGGUAAUACGUAGGGGGCAAGCGUUAUCCGGAUUUACUGGGUGUAAAGGGGGCGCAGACGGCAGCGCAAGCCAGGAGUGAAAGCCCGGGGCCCAACCCUGGGACUGCUCUGGAAACUGUAAAGCUGGAGUGCGGGAGGGGCAGGCGGAAUUCCUGGUGUAGCGGUGAAAUGCGUAGAUAUUAGGAGGAACACCAGUGGCGAAGGCGGCUUACUGGACUGUAACUGACGUUGAGGCUCGAAAGCGUGGGGAGCAAACAGGAUUAGAUACCCUGGUA